UACAGAGGGUGCAAGCGUUGUUCGGAAUUAUUGGGCGUAAAGCGUGCGCAGGCGGUUGUGCAAGACAGAUGUGAAAUCCCCGGGCUUAACCUGGGAACUGCAUUUGUGACUGCACAGCUGGAGUGCGGCAGAGGGGGAUGGAAUUCCGCGUGUAGCAGUGAAAUGCGUAGAUAUGCGGAGGAACACCGAUGGCGAAGGCAAUCCCCUGGGCCUGCACUGACGCUCAUGCACGAAAGCGUGGGGAGCAAACAGG
This 253-nucleotide ribosomal RNA is filed under the name uncultured bacterium. RNAcentral describes it as "partial 16S ribosomal RNA". It matches the Rfam family "Bacterial small subunit ribosomal RNA", at positions 524 to 776 of the family's 1533-position model. The record is from RNAcentral.